Molecule: ribosomal RNA, 495 nt
Filed under: uncultured bacterium
Lineage: Bacteria
Description: partial 16S ribosomal RNA
Rfam family: Bacterial small subunit ribosomal RNA
Source: RNAcentral
GAUGAACGCUGGCGGCGUGCCUAAUUCAUGCAAGUAGAACGCUGAAGGAGGAGCUUGCUCUUCUGGAUGAGUUGCGAACGGGUGAGUAACGCGUAGGUAACCUGCCUGGUAGCGGGGGAUAACUAUUGGAAACGAUAGCUAAUACCGCAUGACAACAGUUAUUGCAUGAUAACUGUUUAAAAGGGGCAACUGCUCCACUACCAGAUGGACCUGCGUUGUAUUAGCUAGUUGGUGAGGUAACGGCUCACCAAGGCGACGAUACAUAGCCGACCUGAGAGGGUGAACGGCCACACUGGGACUGAGACACGGCCCAGACUCCUACGGGAGGCAGCAGUAGGGAAUCUUCGGCAAUGGACGGAAGUCUGACCGAGCAACGCCGCGUGAGUGAAGAAGGUUUUCGGAUCGUAAAGCUCUGUUGUAAGAGAAGAACGAGUGUGAGAGUGGAAAGUUCACACUGUGACGGUAUCUUACCAGAAAGGGACGGCUAACUACGUG